RNAcentral lists this ribosomal RNA (237 nucleotides) under uncultured bacterium. Its description in RNAcentral is "partial 16S ribosomal RNA". It matches the Rfam family "Bacterial small subunit ribosomal RNA", at positions 118 to 351 of the family's 1533-position model. The record is from RNAcentral.
UGGGUAACCUGCCCUUAACUCUGGGAUAAGCCUGGGGAAACUGGGUCUAAUACCGGAUAUGACUCCUCAUCGCAUGGUGGGGGGGUGGAAAGCUUUAUUGUGGUUUUGGAUGGACUCGCGGCCUAUCAGCUUGUUGGUGAGGUAAUGGCUCACCAAGGCAUUGACGGGUAGCCGGCCUGAGAGGGUGACCGGCCACACUGGGACUGAGACACGGCCCAGACUCCGUACGGGAGGCAG